GAUGAAGAACGUAGCGAAAUGCGAUACGUAAUGUGAAUUGCAGAAUUCAGUGAAUCAUCGAGUCUUUGAACGCACAUUGCGCCCCCUGGUAUUCCGGGGGGCAUGCCUGUCCGAGCGUCAUUGCUGCCCUCAAGCACGGCUUGUGUGUUGGGCCUCCGCCCCCCGGCUCCCGGGGGGCGGGCCCGAAAGGCAGCGGCGGCACCGCGUCCGGUCCUCGAGCGUAUGGGGCUUCGUCACCCGCUCCGUAGGCCCGGCCGGCGCCCGCCGGCGACCCCCCUCAAUCUUUUCAGGUUGACCUCGGAUCAGGUAGGGAUACCCGCUGAACUUAAGCAUAUCAAUAAGCGGAGGA
RNAcentral lists this unclassified non-coding RNA (349 nucleotides) under soil metagenome. RNAcentral's name for it is "partial contains 5.8S ribosomal RNA, internal transcribed spacer 2, and large subunit ribosomal RNA". The stretch from base 1 to 120 matches the Rfam family "5.8S ribosomal RNA", at positions 35 to 154 of the family's 154-position model. The record is from RNAcentral.